This 679-nucleotide ribosomal RNA is filed under the name uncultured bacterium. RNAcentral's name for it is "bacterial SSU rRNA". It matches the Rfam family "Bacterial small subunit ribosomal RNA", at positions 222 to 915 of the family's 1533-position model. The record is from RNAcentral.
GAGAGGGGCCCGCGUUCGAUUAGCUAGUUGGUGGGGUAACGGCCUACCAAGGCGACGAUCGAUAGCUGGUCUAAGAGGAUGAUCAGCCAGACUGGGACUGCGACACGGCCCAGACUCCUACGGGAGGCAGCAGUUAGGAAUUUUGGGCAAUGGGCGAAAGCCUGACCCAGCAACGCCGCGUGGGUGAUGAAGGCCUUCGGGUCGUAAAGCCCUUUUUCAGGGGAAGAUAAUGACGGUACCCUGAGAAUAAGCCCCGGCUAACUACGUGCCAGCAGCCGCGGUAAUACGUAGGGGGCAAGCGUUGUCCGGAUUUAUUGGGCGUAAAGCGCGCGUAGGCGGCGCGGUAUGUCGUGCGUGAAAUCUCCCGGCUUAACUGGGAGGGGCCGUGCGAAACUGCCGGGCUUGAGGUCGGAAGGGGAAAGUGGAAUUCCGGGUGUAGUGGUGGAAUACGUAGAUAUCCGGAGGAACACCAGCGGCGAAAGGCGGCUUUCUGGUCCGAUACUGACGCUGAGGUGCGAAAGCGUGGGGAGCGAUCCGGAUUAGAUACCCGGGUAGUCCACGCCGUAAACGAUGAGUACUAGGUGUCGGGGGUAUCGACCCCUCGGUGCCGUCGCUAACGCAUUAAGCACCCCCGCCUGGGGAGUACGGCCCGCAAGGCUAAACCUCAAAUGAAUUGACG